Molecule: ribosomal RNA, 2204 nt
Filed under: human oral metagenome
Description: bacterial LSU rRNA
Rfam family: Bacterial large subunit ribosomal RNA
Source: RNAcentral
GAAGAGUACCGAGAGGGAAAGGUGAAAAGCACCCCUGGCGGGGAGUGAAAGAGACCUGAACCCGUGUGCCUACAAGCGAUCGGAGCAUGGCCGGCAUUUUCGGAUGCUGGGGUAUGUGACGGUAUGCCUUUUGUAAAAUGAGCCGGCGAGUUAUUGUGCGUAGCGAGGUUAAGGACUGCGAGGUCUGUAGCCGCAGGGAAACCGAGUCUGAACAGGGCGCAAGUUUCGUACAAUGGACCCGAAGCCCGACGAUCUAUCCAUGUCCAGGUUGAAGCCCCGGUGAAGCGGGGUGGAGGACCGAACCGAAGCCUGUUGAAAAAGUCUCGGAUGAGGUGUGGAUAGGAGUGAAAAGCUAAUCGAGUUGGGUGAUAGCUGGUUCUCCCCGAAAUGCAUUUAGGUGCAGCCCUGAAUGUUUAGUGAUGGGGGUAGAGCGCUGAAUGGACGCGGGCGGUUGUGACCGUACCAAAUCCAAUCAAACUGCGAAUACCAUUACUUAAGAGUUCAGGAGUGAGACUGCGGGAGAGAAGUUUCGUAGUCGAGAGGGAAAGAGCCCAGACCCACAGCUAAGGUCCCGAAGACAUGCUGAGUGUGGCAAGGAUGUGACGAUGCCUGGACAGCCAGGAGGUUGGCUUAGAAGCAGCCACCCUUUAAAGAGUGCGUAAUAGCUCACUGGUCGAGGAUUGUUGCGCCGAAAAUACAGGGGGCUAAGCAUGUCACCGAAGCUUGGGGAUUGGAUGUAAGUCCGAAUCGGUAGGGGAGCGUUCCAUGCAGGGAGAAGUCAAACCGGCGAGGUUUGGUGGACAGCAUGGAAGUGAGAAUGCCGGCAUGAGUAACGCGAAGUGUGUGAGAAUCACACUCACCGGAAGUCCAAGGGUUCCUGGGGAAGGUUGAUCCGCCCAGGGUAAGGCGGGGCCUAAGGUAAGGCCGAGAGGCGUAGCUGAUGGACAACAGGUUGCUAAUCCUGUCCCGCGAAGCGGUUGCUUGACGAUGGAGUGACGCAGGAAGCUAGGUGCGCCGGCGGAUGGAAUAGCCGGUCUAAGGGCGAAGCCUGGACGGGGAGGCAAAUCCCCCUGUUUAUAGGUGAGACCUGAUGGGGAGUUUUCAGAGAUGGAGACGAAGGCAUUGACGCUCUACUGCCGGGAAAAGCUUCUAAGGAGACCGCCCGCGCCCGUACCCGAAACCGACACAGGUGGACUGGCUGAGGAGGCUAAGGUGAGCGGGAGAACUAUCGUUAAGGAACUCUGCAAGUUGACCCCGUAACCUAGGGAGAAGGGGUGCCAUGAGGGUGAAGAAGGACAUUUGGAGCCCGAAGUGGUCGCAGAAACCAGGCACAGGCGACUGUUUACUAAAAACACAGGACUCUGCAUAAGGCGUAAGCCGAAGUAUAGGGUCUGACACCUGCCCGGUGCUGGAAGGUUAACUGGAGGGGUUAGUGCCGCGAGGUGCGAAGCUCUGAAAUGAAGCCCCAGUAAACGGCGGCCGUAACUAUAACGGUCCUAAGGUAGCGAAAUUCCUUGUCGGGUAAGUUCCGACCUGCACGAAAGGUGUAACGAUCUGUGCGCUGUCUCGACGGUAGACCCGGUGAAAUUGUGGUCCUGGUAAAGACGCCAGGUACCCGUGGUGGGACGGAAAGACCCCAUGGAGCUUUACUGUAACUUGGUAUUGGAUUUUGUCCUAUGAUGCACAGGAUAGGUGGGAGGCAUUGAGUCAGUCAUUUCGGUGAUUGAUGAGCCGUUGUUGGGAUACCACCCUUUAUAUGAUGAAAUUCUAACCCUUAGGCGUUGAAACACGCGGGGGGACAUUGCCAGGCGGGCAGUUUGACUGGGGCGGUCGCCUCCCAAAGAGUAACGGAGGCGCGCAAAGGUCACCUCAGGGCGAAUGGAAACCGCCCUAAGAGAGCGUAAGCGUAUAAGGUGGCUUGACUGCGAGACUGACGAGUCGAGCAGGGACGAAAGUCGGUGCUAGUGAUCCGGUGGUGCUGAAUGGAAGGGCCAUCGCUCAACGGAUAAAAGCUACCCUGGGGAUAACAGGCUGAUCUCGCCCGAGAGUUCCAAUCGACGGCGUGGUUUGGCACCUCGAUGUCGGCUCAUCGCAUCCUGGGGCUGAAGCAGGUCCCAAGGGUUGGUCUGUUCGCCCAUUAAAGCGGUACGUGAGCUGGGUUUAGAACGUCGUGAGACAGUUCGGUCCCUAUCCACCAUGGGCGU